GGAGGGAGAAGAUGGGGCCGUAUUCUUGAGCGAGAUUUUGGAGAGUGCGGUACAUGCGUGGUUUUAGGAGGCGAAGGUGGCCGAUAAUUGGAAGUGCAGGUGGACUAGGAGGGAGGUUUCUGUAGCAUAUUCUUGAUCGGAAAGUUUUAAAAACAAGGAAGAGGAUGAGAAGGGAAAGGAAGAAGCAAGGGACUGAGUCUUCCAUGAUUUCUUUGUUUUUGCUCUGCUUGGCUAAAUUUGCGAG
Molecule: unclassified non-coding RNA, 244 nt
Filed under: Hevea brasiliensis (rubber tree)
Lineage: Eukaryota; Viridiplantae; Streptophyta; Magnoliopsida; Malpighiales; Euphorbiaceae
Source: RNAcentral